UACGUAGGGUGCAAGCGUUAUCCGGAAUUAUUGGGCGUAAAGAGCUCGUAGGCGGUUUGUCGCGUCUGCUGUGAAAACUGGGGGCUCAACCCCCAGCCUGCAGUGGGUACGGGCAGACUAGAGUGUGGUAGGGGAGACUGGAAUUCCUGGUGUAGCGGUGAAAUGCGCAGAUAUCAGGAGGAACACCGAUGGCGAAGGCAGGUCUCUGGGCUGUAACUGACGCUGAGGAGCGAAAGCAUGGGGAGCGAACAGG
This 253-nucleotide ribosomal RNA is filed under the name uncultured bacterium. Its description in RNAcentral is "partial 16S ribosomal RNA". It matches the Rfam family "Bacterial small subunit ribosomal RNA", at positions 524 to 776 of the family's 1533-position model. The record is from RNAcentral.